RNAcentral lists this ribosomal RNA (1978 nucleotides) under human gut metagenome. Its description in RNAcentral is "bacterial LSU rRNA". It matches the Rfam family "Bacterial large subunit ribosomal RNA", at positions 12 to 1977 of the family's 2925-position model. The record is from RNAcentral.
UAAGGGCGUACGGUGGAUGCCUUGGCGAUAUCAGCCGAAGAAGGACGCGGUAAGCUGCGAUAAGCUACGGAGAGAUGCAAGCAAUCUGUGACCCGUAGAUUUCCGAAUGGGGGAACCCGGCAGUGGUUAUGCACUGUCACCCAUAGCAUAGACUAUGAGGAGGGCACCCGGGGAACUGAAACAUCUAAUUACCCGGAGGAACAGUAAUCAAACGAGAUUUUCUUAGUAGCGGCGAGCGAACGGGAAAGAGGCCAAACCGGAGCGGGCAACCGCACCGGGGUUGAGGACAGUCAUCAAGUGUAAAUGAGGUAGAAGAAUCGAGCUGGAAAGCUCAGCCGCAGAAGGUGAAAGCCCUGUAAUCGAAACCUUGCAUACACGGGACUGUAUCCAGAGUACCACGAGACACGUGAAACCUUGUGGGAAGCAGGGGGGACCACCCUCCAAGCCAAAAUACUGAUAUCGACCGAUAGCGCAUAGUACCGUGAGGGAAAGGUGAAAAGAACCCCUGGCGGGGAGUGAAAGAGAACCUGAAACCGUAUGUCUACAAACAGUCGAAGUCUGUAUAUAUAUCAGGACGACGGCGUGCCUAUUGAAGAAUGAACCGACGAGUUACUGUUGCUAGCGAGGUUAAGUGGAAAACAUGGAGCCGCAGCGAAAGCGAGUCUGAACAGGGCGUUCAGUUAGUAAUAGUAGACCCGAAACCGUAGUGAUCUAUCCAUGGCCAGGUUGAAGCACAGGUAAAAUUGUGUGGAGGACCGAACUCGUGAGCGUUGAAAAGCUUUGGGAUGAGUUGUGGAUAGGGGUGAAAUGCCAAUCGAACACGGAGAUAGCUGGUUCUCCCCGAAAUAGCUUUAGGGCUAGCCUCGAGGUAGAGAGUAUAGGCGGUAGAGCACUGAUCGGGCUAGGGGCCAUACCGGUUACCGAACCUAGUCAAACUACGAAUGGCUAUACUUAUACUCGGGAGUCAGACAGUGAAUGAUAAGGUCCAUUGUCAAGAGGGAAACAGCCCAGAACACCGACUAAGGUCCCUAAUGUUACACUAAGUGGCGAAGGAUGUGGAAUUUCCAAAACAACCAGGAUGUUGGCUUAGAAGCAGCCACCAUUUAAAGAGUGCGUAAUAGCUCACUGGUCGAGAGACUCUGCGCCGAAAAUGUCCGGGGCUAAAGUGUAAAACCGAAGUCGUGUCAUAUGCAGCAAUGUAUAUGGGUAGGGGAGCGUUCUCAUCGGGCUGAAGCAGUACCGUAAGGAGUUGUGGACUGAUGAGAAGUGAGAAUGUCGGUAUGAGUAGCGAAAAGAAUGGUGAGAAUCCAUUCCACCGAAAGCCUAAGGGUUCCUGAGCAACGAUCGUCGUCUCAGGGUAAGUCGGGACCUAAGCCGAGGCGGAACAGCGUAGGCGAUGGACAACAGGUUGAAAUUCCUGUACCGGUGUGAAUCGUUUGAUCGAUGGAGUGACACAGUAAGGUAGGUCAGCACGCGAUUGGAAGAGCGUGUUUAAGCAGGUAGGUUGAGCUAUAGGCAAAUCCGUAGCUCUAAAAGCUGAGAUGUGAUGACGAGUGACUAGCAAUAGUCGCGAAGUGAUUGAUCCUACACUGUCGAGAAAAGCUUCUAGGUAGAGACACAUCGCCCGUACCAAAACCGACACAGGUAGGCGGGGAGAGAAUCCUAAGGUGCGCGGGAAAACCCUCGUUAAGGAACUCGGCAAAAUGCCUCCGUAACUUCGGGAAAAGGAGGACUCAUGUAGUGUGAAGAGCAGAAGCGCUUGGAGCAUGAAUGAGUGGCACAAGAGAGGCGCAAGCGACUGUUUACCACAAACACAGGUGCCUGCUAAAGCGAAAGCUGAUGUAUAGGUGCUGACACCUGCCCGGUGCUGGAAGGUUAAGAGGAGGGGUUAGACUUCGGUCGAAGCUCUGAAUUGAAGCCCCAGUAAACGGCGGCCGUAACUAUAACGGUCCUAAGGUAGCGAAAUUCCUUGUCGGGU